AUGGAUUACCACUCAAGACCUGCAAUCCAGCGCAGCCUAAGAAGGAGAAGACCUCCUGCCCGUUUUGCUGACUGUAUGGUGAGAGAAUGUGCUCCCUUUCCUCCUUCCUCACCAACACUAGUUGUAAGUGAUCAUCACCAAACCCAGUAUGGAAAUCCAUCUUCAAGACCUUGCCCAUGUUUAUGUGCUCACCAACCGUCUCAACAUGAUUUAAUCGAUAUGGAUGUUAAACAAGAAAUACUUGGACUUAAGGGUAUGCUCGGUGAGAUGAUGUCUAAAAUGUCACAGUUAGUAGUUUCCUCUAAACGUUCUGAAUUUUCUGAGUCCUUUGAUGAUGCUUCUGAUGAUGAUAAUGCAUUUGCUACUACAUCUAUUGUUCAGGAAUUGUCUGCAUGUAUUAAGAAUGCUGAACAGAAACAUACAUGUGAGAAAUGUAAUUCCUCAACUGUUCUUUCACCACCUCCAUUGAGUAGGCCUAGUUCUCUACCUCUUCCUCCUUCCUCAUUGUUACGUAGUCCACCCCAACAUAUGCACACAGACGAUAGAACUUUACAAUUACAAUCAAGUAAUAUGUUACAACCUUCUAUUGUUCCAUUGAUUCCUAAGCCUCUUAACUGUCAUUCCCGUCAAGUGCAAACAUCGCCAGUGUUGGUACAACCAAUUGGUUCACCACAGCCAGGUAUAUCAUGUAGUCCCUUUUUCCCUUCGACGGCUCAUACUCAGUUAUCCUCACAAGUAACAUCAGCACAGUUACCUCCUCAGCCACUGUAUGCUGUUUCGCAGUAUUCACAGCCGUUAGGACCAUCUUCUAGUUUGGCAAUUCCUCAUGUAUCCUCAGCUAAUGUAAGUCCUCAUGUUCAACCACAGUCUGUAGGUCAGGAAGGGAAUUUGGUUGUACACAAUCCUUCUUCCUAUAGUCAACCAAUUGCUCCCACUACCCAGAUGAACACAAUUCCAUUCCUUCAUCCGUAUCCAUAUUCUCAGCCAUAUGUUUCAUAUCCUGUUUCUUCCUAUCCUUCUUCUCGUGUUCAGGGACCUUAUUUUCCUUUCUUAGUGAAUGACGACCCCCAAGAAUUUGCAAUGUUGCAGUUAGCCUUGACAAAUUUGUUGUCAUCCCAUGAACCAGAACAUUACAAAUUCCAUAUCUUGCUGGAUCAUUUAAAAUUUUCGCAAGCUCUUGAUCUAGCUUUAGCUUAUGCUAAUGAUCCUAGGCCUUACAGCAUGGCUCUUUUUGCACUACAGCAGAAAUAUGGGCAACCUCACCAACUAGUUUUGAGAGAAAUCAAAGCCAUCCUAGCUCUCCCCAGGGUGAGACCAGGUGACAGCAGAGCAUUUAGUAGUUUCGCACUGAAGGUUCGAGCCUUGGUUGGCAUGCUCCAAUCUUUGGGCCAAGGCCAAGUUAAAUCUGAAUUAUCCUGCGCUUCUCAUGUACAGCAACUACUCGGUAAACUGCCCACAGAGCAUGUGACCAACUUUGCCCGUUAUGCCCGUACAAUCCUAAAAGGUCAAAGCUACAAUCUUAUUACCUUUUCCGCCUGGCUCCAAGAAGAGGCUGAGUGUCAAGCAAUGGCAGAUCAGGUUAGUGACUUUCCGAAACCACUCUUGAGUAAACCUCAACCAAAGACCUAUGUUAACACACGAACAGUCUUGUACGGAGUCAACGGUAAUUCUGUUGAUCCGAGAUCCACAGCUAAGCAACCCCAGAAUAUGAGAAAGGGAGAAUGGAGUUCCAAGUAUUCAUGCGCAUAUUGUUCCAGUAGGGACCAUUUCAUUGGCCUGUGCACUUCUUUUAAAUCCUUAGAUGACAGCAGGAAGAAUGCAUGGCUUAGAGAGAACAAAAGAUGUUGGAGAUGUGGGCUUAAACACCUAGCCAUCAACUGUGACUUAAAAAAGCCUUGUCCACAGUGCAAAGGCAGACAUCUUGGUAUUCUUCAUGGAGUUACAAGCCUCACCAAAUGCAGUCAUGUCUUCUCUUCGAUGUAUCGAGCGUCGCGUUCAGAGAGAUCCCACAACUGCUGCUGUGUAUGA
Long non-coding RNA from Carassius auratus (goldfish), 2028 nucleotides. NCBI's taxonomy places the organism in Eukaryota, Metazoa, Chordata, Actinopteri, Cypriniformes, Cyprinidae. The record is from Ensembl.